CGACAGGCGGAAGGCUGUGACGCGUGGCCCAUGCCCCGGCCGCCGGGACCGCGCCGAGCCACUGGCGAGACCGACCGCCCGCAU
Molecule: non-coding RNA, 84 nt
Filed under: unclassified sequences
Description: c-di-GMP sequence
Rfam family: c-di-GMP-II-GAG riboswitch aptamer
Source: Rfam by way of RNAcentral